RNAcentral lists this ribosomal RNA (260 nucleotides) under uncultured Diversispora. Its description in RNAcentral is "partial 18S ribosomal RNA". It matches the Rfam family "Eukaryotic small subunit ribosomal RNA", at positions 624 to 886 of the family's 1831-position model. The record is from RNAcentral. Lineage: Eukaryota; Fungi; Glomeromycota; Glomeromycetes; Diversisporales; Diversisporaceae.
AAGCUCGUAGUUGAAUUUCGGGGUUUACCCAUUGGUCAGGCUUAAUUGUCUGCACUGGUGAGAUAAAUCUCUACCUUCUGAGGAACCUUCAUGCCAUUUAUUUGGUGUGAUGGGAAAUCAGGACUGUUACUUUGAAAAAAUUAGAGUGUUUAAAGCAGGCUAACGUCUGAAUACACUAGCAUGGAAUAAUGAAAUAGGACGGCUUGGUUCUAUUUCGUUGGUUUCUAGGAUCACCGUAAUGAUUAAUAGGGAUAGUUGGG